This 108-nucleotide small nuclear RNA is filed under the name Dasypus novemcinctus (nine-banded armadillo). Lineage: Eukaryota; Metazoa; Chordata; Mammalia; Cingulata; Dasypodidae. The record is from RNAcentral.
GCUGCCCUCUUUGGCAGCACAUACACUAAAAUUGGAAUGAUACAGAGAAAAGUUGCAUGACCCAUGUUCAAGGAUAACACCCAAAUUUGUCAAGUGUUCCACAUUUUU